Long non-coding RNA from Homo sapiens (human), 2107 nucleotides. RefSeq lists it as uncharacterized. The record is from RefSeq and is a predicted model, not a curated record. Lineage: Eukaryota; Metazoa; Chordata; Mammalia; Primates; Hominidae. The transcript has 3 exons.
AGUUUCUGCUGCCCCCAUGCUGUGCCUGACACACUUGAUAUGGCAAAAACCAGGACAGCCUUUCUCACGUUGUCCAGCUGUGCCAACAAUUUCACUUCCAAGCAGAGGUUGAGGAACAUUGAGGUCCUUUGCACUUUUUGGUUAUAUGAUGAUCAACAAUGCUGCUAUGAAUAUUUGCCUAUUUUAGGAAUGGGCAGAAGCUGGAAACAUUCCCCUUAAAAACUGACACAAGACAAGGAUGUCAUCUCUCACCACUCCUUUUCAACUGAGUAUUGGAAGUUCUGGCCAGGGCAAUCAGGCAAGAAAAAGAAAUAAAGUGCAUUCAAAUAGGAAGAAAGGAAGUCAAACUAUCCCUGUUUGCAGAUGACAUGAUCCUAUAUCUUGAAAACCCCAUCAUUUCAGCCCCAAAGCUUUUUAAGCUGGAUAAGCAACUACGGCAAAGUCUCAGGAUACAAAAUUAAUGUGCAAAAAUCACUAGCAUUCCUAUACACCAUUCAUACAUUCCUAUACACCAUUCAUACAUUCAUACAGCAUUCCUAUACACCAACAACAGUUAUUCCGAGAGCCAAAUCACGAACUCCCAUUCACAAUUGGCACAGAAAGAAUAAAAUACCUAGAAAUACAGCUGACAAGGGAAGUGAAAGAUCUCUACAAGGAGAACUACAAACCACUACUCAAAGAAAUCAGAAACAACACAGACAAAUGGAAAAACAUUCCAUAUUCACUGAUAGGAGUAAUCAGUAACAUUAAAUGGUGGCUAUACUGUCCAAAGCAAUUUAUAGAUUCAAUGCUAUUCCCAUUAAAGUACCACUGACAUUCUUCAUAAAACUAGAAAAAAACAAUUUUAAAGUUCAUACGGAACAACAACAACAAAAAAGUCCUGAAUAACCAAGGCAAUCGUAAGCAAAAAGAACAAAGCUGGAGGCAUCACACUACCCAAUUUCAAAUUAUGCUACAGGGCUACAGUUAUCAAAACCACAUGGUACUGGUACAAGAACAGACACAUAGACCAAUGGAAUAGAAUAGAGAGCCCAGAAAUAUGUCCUCACACCUAUAACCAUCUGAUCUGUAAUAAAGUUAACAAAAACAAAAAAUGGGGAAAGGACUUCCUAUUCAAUAAAUGGUGCUGGGAUAACUGGCUAGCCAUGUGCAGAAGAUUGAAACUGGACGCCUUUCCUUAAGCCAGAUACAAAAAUCAACUCAAGAUGGAUAAAGUAUUUAAAUUUAAAACCCAAAACUAUAAAAACCCUGAAAGACAACCUAGGCAAUACCAUUCAGGACACAGGCACAGGCAAAGAUUUCAUGACGAAGAUGCCAAAAGCAAUUGCAACCAAAGCAAAAAUUGACAAAUGGGAUCUAAUUAAACUAAAGAGCUUCUGCACACCAAAAGAACCUAUCAACAGAAUGAAUAGAUCCCUACAGAAUGAGAGAAAAAUUUUUCAAGCUAUGCAUCUGACAAAGGUCUAAUAUGCAGCAUCUAUAAGGAACUUAAACAAAUUUACAAGAAAACAAUCAACCCCAUUAAAAAGUGGGCAAAGGAUGUGAACAGACACUUCUCAAAAGAAGACAUACAAGCAGUCAAUAGUCAUAUGAAAAAAAGCUCAACAUCACUGAUCAUUAGAGAAAUGCAAAUGAAAACCACAAUGAGAUACCAUCGCACACUAGUCAGAAUGGCUGUUAUCAAAAAGACAAAAAAUAACAGAUGCUGAUGAGGUUGUGGAGAAAAAGGAAUGCUUAUACACCAUUGAUGGGAGUGUGAAUUAGUUCAACCAUUGUAGAAGAGAGUGUGGUGGUUCCUCAAAGACUUAAAGUCAGAAAUACAAUUUGACCCAGCAAUCCCAUUACUGGGUAUAUACUCAAAGGAAUGUAAAUCAUUCUAUUCUAAAGGCUCAUGUAUGAGUACUUUCAUUGCAGCACCAUUCGCAAUAGCAAAGACAUUGAAUCAACCCAAAUGCCCAUCAAUGAUAGACUGGAUAAAGAAAAUGUGGUACAUACACACCAUAGGAUACUAUGCAAGCAUAAAAAUGGACGAGAUCAUGUCCUUUGCAGGGACAUGGAUGGAGCUGGAGGCCAUUAUCUUCUGCAAACUAACACAGGAACAGAAAAA